GACGAACGCUGGCGGCGUGCUUAACACAUGCAAGUCGAACGGAAAGGCCCCUUCGGGGGUACUCGAGUGGCGAACAGGUGAGUAACACGUGAGUAACCUGCCCUCGACUUCGGGAUAACUUCAGGAAACUGGGGCUAAUACCGGAUAGGAAUCCUUGCUGCAUGGUGGGGGUUGGAAAGCUUCGGCGGUUUUGGAUGGACUCGCGGCUUAUCAGCUUGUUGGUGGGGUAGUGGCUUACCAAGGCUUUGACGGGUAGCCGGCCUGAGAGGGCGACCGGCCACAUUGGGACUGAGAUACGGCCCAGACUCCUACGGGAGGCAGCAGUGGGGAAUAUUGCACAAUGGGCGGAAGCCUGAUGCAGCAACGCCGCGUGCGGGAUGACGGCCUUCGGGUUGUAAACCGCUUUCAGCAGGGGCGAAGCUUGUGGUGACGGUACCUGCAGAAGAAGCACCGGCUAACUACGUG
Molecule: ribosomal RNA, 465 nt
Filed under: uncultured bacterium
Lineage: Bacteria
Description: partial 16S ribosomal RNA
Rfam family: Bacterial small subunit ribosomal RNA
Source: RNAcentral